UUUUAAAAAGAAGGUUUACAUAUUUGCUUUAUUUUAUUGCAUGUUUGAUAGGUGAUCAUUCUCAUUGUUUUACAGAUUUCAGUUUGCAUUUAAAAAGAUAAAAAUAAAACGGAAAAAAUAAGAAGAAAACAUUGUAGAAAUGAAAAUAACUAACAACAUAAAAAUAGUUGAUUAGGAUGAUGAUAUUUAUAAAUAUAAAUAUCCGUAAAAUUAUUAUGCAUGCAUUUGGGGACAAAACACCUAAUAUGUGCAGAUAGUUAAUUAUUGAUUUUGCGUAUUCGAACUCUAACAUUGAAAGUUAUAGCAUUUAAAAUCAGUGACGGCCUUAGCGAAUUUUUAUAUAUAAUUAAAAACAAAUUUAUAUUAAUAAUAGAUUUUUUUUCAAAAAAAUAAGAUAAUUCUUAUAUAUUAUGCUG
This 416-nucleotide long non-coding RNA is filed under the name Brassica rapa (field mustard). RNAcentral's name for it is "long non-coding RNA (BRAP_LNC001915)". Lineage: Eukaryota; Viridiplantae; Streptophyta; Magnoliopsida; Brassicales; Brassicaceae. The record is from RNAcentral.